GUGAGGAAUAUUGGUCAAUGGGCGAAAGCCUGAACCAGCCAUGUCGCGUGAAGGAUGAAGGUCCUAUGGAUUGUAAACUUCUUUUGCAGGAGGGUAAAGUGAGCUACGUGUAGUUCAUUGCAAGUACCCUGCGAAUAAGCAUCGGCUAACUCCGUGCCAGCAGCCGCGGUAAUACGGAGGAUGCGAGCGUUAUCCGGAUUUAUUGGGUUUAAAGGGUGCGUAGGCGGACUAAUUAGUCAGCGGUGAAAUUUUGCGGAUCAACCGUAAAACUGCCGUUGAAACUGUUAGUCUUUAGUGCGGUAGAGGUAGGCGGAAUGUGUGGUGUAGCUGUGAAAUGCUUAGAUAUCACACAGAACACCGAUUGCGUAGGCAGCUUACUGGAGCGCAACUGACGCUGAGGCACGAAAGCGUGGGGAUCGAACAGGAUUAGAAACCCCUGUAGUCC
RNAcentral lists this ribosomal RNA (445 nucleotides) under uncultured bacterium. Its description in RNAcentral is "partial 16S ribosomal RNA". It matches the Rfam family "Bacterial small subunit ribosomal RNA", at positions 354 to 796 of the family's 1533-position model. The record is from RNAcentral.